GAUGAACGCUGGCGGCGUGCUUAACACAUGCAAGUCGAACGGAAAGGCCUCUGCUUGCAGGGGUACUCGAGUGGCGAACGGGUGAGUAACACGUGGGUGAUCUGCCCUGCACUUCGGGAUAAGCCUGGGAAACUGGGUCUAAUACCGGAUAGGACAAUGGUUUGGAUGCUGUUGUGGAAAGUUUUUCGGUGUGGGAUGAGCUCGCGGCCUAUCAGCUUGUUGGUGGGGUAAUGGCCUACCAAGGCGUCGACGGGUAGCCGGCCGGAGAGGGUGUACGGCCACAUUGGGACGGAGAUACGGCCCAGACUCCUACGGGAGGCAGCAGUGGGGAAUAUUGCACAAUGGGCGCAAGCCUGAUGCAGCGACGCCGCGUGGGGGAUGACGGCCUUCGGGUUGUAAACUCCUUUCGCUAGGGACGAAGCGUUUUUGUGACGGUACCUGGAGAAGAAGCACCGGCUAACUACGUG
This 467-nucleotide ribosomal RNA is filed under the name uncultured bacterium. RNAcentral's name for it is "partial 16S ribosomal RNA". It matches the Rfam family "Bacterial small subunit ribosomal RNA", at positions 28 to 507 of the family's 1533-position model. The record is from RNAcentral.